CUCUUGGUGGCGAGUGGCGGACGGGUGAGUAAUAUAUCGGAACGUGCCCAGUAGCGGGGGAUAACUACUCGAAAGAGUGGCUAAUACCGCAUACGCCCUACGGGGGAAAGGGGGGGAUUCUUCGGAACCUCUCACUAUUGGAGCGGCCGAUAUCGGAUUAGCUAGUUGGUGGGGUAAAGGCUCACCAAGGCAACGAUCCGUAGCUGGUUUGAGAGGACGACCAGCCACACUGGGACUGAGACACGGCCCAGACUCCUACGGGAGGCAGCAGUGGGGAAUUUUGGACAAUGGGGGAAACCCUGAUCCAGCCAUCCCGCGUGUAUGAUGAAGGCCUUCGGGUUGUAAAGUACUUUUGGCAGAGAAGAAAAGGUAUCUCCUAAUACGAGAUACUGCUGACGGUAUCUGCAGAAUAAGCACCGGCUAACUACGUGCCAGCAGCCGCGGUAAUACGUAGGGUGCAAGCGUUAAUCGGAAUUACUGGGCGUAAAGCGUGUGUAGGCGGUUCGGAAAGAAAGAUGUGAAAUCCCAGGGCUCAACCUUGGAACUGCAUUUUUAACUGCCGAGCUAGAGUAUGUCAGAGGGGGGUAGAAUUCCACGUGUAGCAGUGAAAUGCGUAGAUAUGUGGAGGAAUACCGAUGGCGAACGCAGCCCCCUGGGAUAAUACUGACGCUCAGACACGAAAGCGUGGGGAGCAAACAGGAUUAGAUACCCUGCUAGUCCACGCCCUAAACGAUGUCUACUAGCUGUUGGGGCCGUUACGCCUUAGUAGCGCAGCUAAUACGUGAAGCUGACGUCUGUGG
This 800-nucleotide ribosomal RNA is filed under the name uncultured bacterium. Its description in RNAcentral is "bacterial SSU rRNA". It matches the Rfam family "Bacterial small subunit ribosomal RNA", at positions 82 to 878 of the family's 1533-position model. The record is from RNAcentral.